GAAGCCCGGUGCCGACGGCUCCUUCCCGGUGGACCGGGCGGAGGCGACCAGCGGCGAGAAGCUCCUCUGUGACGUCAUGAACGAGAACAAGAUCAAGCUCUACGCCGCAUACGUGGGCUCUGCUUUUCUUCUUCUUCAUUUGUGUUGUGCUGUAGCCUGCCUGACAAAGCGUGGUCUUGCUGUAUCGCUCGCAAGGCAAGGUGAUGAACUGCGGUGGCGGCGGAAGUUGUGGCACUUGCAUCGUCGAGAUAAUCGAUGGAAAGGAGCUCCUGAAUGAGAGGACGAGCACCGAGAAUCGAUACCUGAAGAAGAAACCAGACUCAUGGAGGCUAGCUUGCCAGACUAUUGUAGGCAACAAAGAGAACUCUGGCAAGGCAAGC
Long non-coding RNA from Zea mays, 380 nucleotides. RefSeq lists it as uncharacterized. Lineage: Eukaryota; Viridiplantae; Streptophyta; Magnoliopsida; Poales; Poaceae. The transcript is spliced from 3 exons. The record is from RefSeq and is a predicted model, not a curated record.